RNAcentral lists this ribosomal RNA (253 nucleotides) under uncultured bacterium. Its description in RNAcentral is "partial 16S ribosomal RNA". It matches the Rfam family "Bacterial small subunit ribosomal RNA", at positions 524 to 776 of the family's 1533-position model. The record is from RNAcentral.
UACGUAGGGUGCGAGCGUUAAUCGGAAUUACUGGGCGUAAAGGGUGCGCAGGCGGUUCUGCAAGUCAGGCGUGAAAGCCCCGGGCUUAACCUGGGAAUGGCGCUUGAAACUACAGGACUGGAGUAUGGCAGAGGGAGGUGGAAUUCCACGUGUAGCGGUGAAAUGCGUAGAGAUGUGGAGGAACACCGAUGGCGAAGGCAGCCUCCUGGGCCAAUACUGACGCUGAGGUGCGAAAGCGUGGGGAGCAAACAGG